This 497-nucleotide ribosomal RNA is filed under the name uncultured bacterium. RNAcentral describes it as "partial 16S ribosomal RNA". It matches the Rfam family "Bacterial small subunit ribosomal RNA", at positions 28 to 507 of the family's 1533-position model. The record is from RNAcentral.
GAUGAACGCUGGCGGCGUGCCUAAUACAUGCAAGUCGAGCGAACGGACGAGAAGCUUGCUUCUCUGAUGUUAGCGGCGGACGGGAGAGUAACACGUGGAUAACCUCCAUAUAAGACUGGGAUAACUUCGGGAAACCGGAGCUAAUACCGGAUAAUAUUAUGAACCGCAUGGUUCAAAAGCGAAAGACGGUCUUGCUGUCACUUAUAGAUGUAUCCGCGCUGCAUUAGCUAGUUGGUAAGGUAACGGCUUACCAAGGCAACGAUGCAUAGCCGACCUGAGAGGGUGAUCGGCCACACUGGAACUGAGACACGGUCCAGACUCCGACGGGAGGCAGCAGUAGGGAAUCUUCCGCAAUGGGCGAAAGCCUGACGGAGCAACGCCGCAUGAGUGAUGAAGGUCAUCGGAUCGGAAAGCUCUGUUAUUAGGGAAGAACAUAUGUGUAAGUAACUGUGCACAUCUUGACGGUACCUAAUCAGAAAGCCACGGCUAACUACGUG